This 362-nucleotide ribosomal RNA is filed under the name Malassezia globosa. RNAcentral's name for it is "partial large subunit ribosomal RNA". It matches the Rfam family "Eukaryotic large subunit ribosomal RNA", at positions 128 to 489 of the family's 3401-position model. The record is from RNAcentral. Lineage: Eukaryota; Fungi; Basidiomycota; Malasseziomycetes; Malasseziales; Malasseziaceae.
UUAAAGUGCCCGGCGUAGUAAUCUCGAGACGUGUUUUACGUGCGGCUCUAUGGACAAGUCCCUUGGAAUAGGGCAUCGUAGAGGGUGAGAAUCCCGUACUUGCCAUGGAAGAACCGUGCUUUGCGAUACACGCUCUAAGAGUCGAGUUGUUUGGGAUUGCAGCUCAAAAUGGGUGGUAGACUCCAUCUAAAGCUAAAUAUCGGGGAGAGACCGAUAGCGAACAAGUACCGUGAGGGAAAGAUGAAAAGCACUUUGGAAAGAGAGUUAAAAGUACGUGAAAUUGUCGAAAGGGAAGCACUUGAAGUCAGCCAUGCUGCUUGAGACUCAGCCUGGCCUUUGGGCUUGGUGUAUUUCUCGGAGGC